RNAcentral lists this unclassified non-coding RNA (328 nucleotides) under soil metagenome. Its description in RNAcentral is "partial contains 5.8S ribosomal RNA, internal transcribed spacer 2, and large subunit ribosomal RNA". The stretch from base 1 to 120 matches the Rfam family "5.8S ribosomal RNA", at positions 35 to 154 of the family's 154-position model. The record is from RNAcentral.
GAUGAAGAACGCAGCGAAAUGCGAUAAGUAAUGUGAAUUGCAGAAUUCAGUGAAUCAUCGAAUCUUUGAACGCACAUUGCGCCCCCUGGUAUUCCGGGGGGCAUGCCUGUCCGAGCGUCAUUACAACCCUCAAGCUCAGCUUGGUGUUGGGCCCCGCCGCCCCGGCGGGCCCUAAAGUCAGUGGCGGUGCCGUCCGGCUCCGAGCGUAGUAAUUCUUCUCGCUCUGGAGGCCCGGUCGUGUGCUCGCCAGCAACCCCCAAUUUUUUUCAGGUUGACCUCGGAUCAGGUAGGGAUACCCGCUGAACUUAAGCAUAUCAUAAGCGGAGGA